RNAcentral lists this ribosomal RNA (463 nucleotides) under uncultured bacterium. RNAcentral's name for it is "partial 16S ribosomal RNA". It matches the Rfam family "Bacterial small subunit ribosomal RNA", at positions 28 to 507 of the family's 1533-position model. The record is from RNAcentral.
GAUGAACGCUGACAGAAUGCUUAACACAUGCAAGUCUUUGGCGAAUCUGUGCUUGCACAGGCUAGCCAAGGCGGACGGGUGAGUAACGCGUAAAGAACUUGCCCUGCAGACAGGGAUAACAGACGGAAACGACUGAUAACACCUGAUACAGUUGCCGGCACGCAUGUGCCUGGCAAUGGAAAGAGAUGCUGCAGGAGAGCUUUGCGUCCUAUUAGCUUGUUGGUGAGGUGACGGCUCACCAAGGCGAUGAUAGGUAGCCGGCCUGAGAGGGUGAACGGCCACAAGGGGACUGAGAUACGGCCCUUACUCCUACGGGAGGCAGCAGUGGGGAAUAUUGGACAAUGGGGGCAACCCUGAUCCAGAAAUUCUGUGUGCACGAAGAAGGUUUUCGGAUUGUAAAGUGCUUUCAGCAGGGAAGAAGAAAGUGACGGUACCUGCAGAAGAAGCGACGGCUAAAUACGUG